UCCCAGACUCCUACGGGAGGCAGCAGUGGGGAAUAUUGCACAAUGGGGGAAACCCUGAUGCAGCGACGCCGCGUGAGCGAAGAAGUACCUCGGUAUGUAAAGCUCUAUCAGCAGGGAAGAAGAUGACGGUACCUGACCAAGAAGCUCCGGCUAAAUACGUGCCAGCAGCCGCGGUAAUACGUAUGGAGCAAGCGUUAUCCGGAUUUACUGGGUGUAAAGGGAGCGCAGGCGGCCUUGCAAGUCUGAUGUGAAAAGCCGGGGCCCAACCCCGGGACUGCAUUGGAAACUGCGAGGCUGGAGUGCAGGAGAGGUAAGUGGAAUUCCUAGUGUAGCGGUGAAAUGCGUAGAUAUUAGGAGGAACACCAGUGGCGAAGGCGGCUUACUGGACUGUAACUGACGUUGAGGCUCGAAAGCGUGGGGAGCAAACAGGAUUAGAUACCCGGGUA
RNAcentral lists this ribosomal RNA (446 nucleotides) under uncultured bacterium. Its description in RNAcentral is "partial 16S ribosomal RNA". It matches the Rfam family "Bacterial small subunit ribosomal RNA", at positions 329 to 792 of the family's 1533-position model. The record is from RNAcentral.